UAGGCAGUGCGCUGUAAGCUGGCUGCUUGGCUCAAUUUAGCAGUCAGGACUGCCCUGCCACU
This is a microRNA precursor of Monodelphis domestica (gray short-tailed opossum), 62 nucleotides long. Lineage: Eukaryota; Metazoa; Chordata; Mammalia; Didelphimorphia; Didelphidae. The record is from Ensembl.